UUUAAAUACCAAAACCACACAUUACAUUCCAUAUAAAAUAGAAAUAAGUUUACAGACGUCAGUCAUACAUCAUAUUAUGUAUAUAAUUUAAAAAGAAAAUUAAAAAAAUAAAAAGAAGGAAAAUAAGGUUGGCUUGUAUCAUGAGUUCCUUGCUUCACAUUUGCAACAUACCAUCUUCGUCCAUCCCAUAGUACCUCCCUUAUCAAACACCAUACAUCCAUCAUCCAUGCAUAAAUAAAAAAUUUAAAAAAUUAAUAAUAAGAAGAAGUUUGAAAUAAUAUAGACACGAUUUCUACAUUUUACAGCAACAUCCAUGCCAUCAACAACAUACCAACAACAUACAUAACACA
Molecule: long non-coding RNA, 350 nt
Filed under: Lathyrus oleraceus (garden pea)
Lineage: Eukaryota; Viridiplantae; Streptophyta; Magnoliopsida; Fabales; Fabaceae
Description: Pisum sativum (pea) long non-coding RNA (PSAT_LNC017535)
Source: RNAcentral